AUUGAACGCUGGCGGCAGGCUUAACACAUGCAAGUCGAGCGGUAGCACAGGGGAGCUUGCUCCCUGGGUGACGAGCGGCGGACGGGUGAGUAAUGUCUGGGAAACUGCCUGAUGGAGGGGGAUAACUACUGGAAACGGUAGCUAAUACCGCAUAACGUCGCAAGACCAAAGAGGGGGACCUUCGGGCCUCUUGCCAUCAGAUGUGCCAGAUGGGAUUAGCUAGUAGGUGGGGUAAUGGCUCACCUAGGCGACGAUCCCUAGCUGGUCUGAGAGGAUGACCAGCCACACUGGAACUGAGACACGGUCCAGACUCCUACGGGAGGCAGCAGUGGGGAAUAUUGCACAAUGGGCGCAAGCCUGAUGCAGCCAUGCCGCGUGUGUGAAGAAGGCCUUCGGGUUGUAAAGCACUUUCAGCGAGGAGGAAGGUGGUGAGCUUAAUACGCUCAUCAAUUGACGUUACUCGCAGAAGAAGCACCGGCUAACUCCGUG
RNAcentral lists this ribosomal RNA (489 nucleotides) under uncultured bacterium. RNAcentral describes it as "partial 16S ribosomal RNA". It matches the Rfam family "Bacterial small subunit ribosomal RNA", at positions 30 to 507 of the family's 1533-position model. The record is from RNAcentral.